CUGUAAACCAUUAACUCCCCCCCACCCCACCCCCCAAAAUAGAGGAGGCUCAACAUUCACUACAUUAAGACUACGAUGUGUCCCCAGACCUAGUUCUGUUUCAUAAAUGCUGAUGAUAAGC
This 121-nucleotide small nucleolar RNA is filed under the name Erinaceus europaeus (western European hedgehog). RNAcentral's name for it is "Small nucleolar RNA SNORA72 (ENSEEUG00000023898.1)". Lineage: Eukaryota; Metazoa; Chordata; Mammalia; Eulipotyphla; Erinaceidae. The record is from RNAcentral.